This 1238-nucleotide long non-coding RNA is filed under the name Ananas comosus (pineapple). RNAcentral's name for it is "long non-coding RNA (ACOM_LNC015553)". The record is from RNAcentral. Lineage: Eukaryota; Viridiplantae; Streptophyta; Magnoliopsida; Poales; Bromeliaceae.
AUGAUAUACAUGAGCAAUACUACUCGCACAACCUAAAGAGGGUGUAUGAUGCAUACCCUAUCCAUUUUAGGAUGAAAACUGCUACGCUAGUCCAGUCAAUGUGAUUAGUAAAAUUCAUCCCACCCAAGCCCUUUAGGGAUGUACUGUUGGAUGUGGUCCACGUGAUUUAUUUAAGACAAUCUAUAAAGAUACAAGCGGUUUAUUCAAGUUGAUCUAUAAAGAUACAAAAAAUCUAACGGUUAGGAUGUAUCUGGUCACCUCUUUGAUGGACAGACGUGAUUUAACAUCCUUAUAUUAAGUUAUAAAUAAAUAUGUAACAUACGGGAAUUCCGGUCUAACCCUAAAUCCAAUUUUCUGUGACAGCUCCAUCUCCCUCCGGGGAUAAGAGAUAAGGGAAUUAGACUCGAAACGUCCGGGGACCGUCGUCUAUAAUCCGGAUAUUGACAGUUGAUCUAUAAAGAUAUGGAAGAUCUAACGGUUAGGAUAUAUCCGGACAAGUUCUUGAUGGAUGGACAUGAUUUAAUAUUCUUAUAUUAAGUCAUAUAUGAAUAUGUAACAUACGGGAGUCUCAAUCUAACCCUAAUCCAAUUUUUUGUGACGGCUUCAUCUUUGAGGAUAAGAGAAUGAGACUCGAAACGUCCCGCUUUCUUACAGAAUACGAACGAGGACGAACCGCGAGUAAGGACCGUCGUCUAUAAUCCGGAUAUUGAAAUCAAAACUAUGGUAGAACGUACGAUCUUAAUUUUUUAUAAAGUUUCAACAUGUACAAAUAGUAUUUUCUACUUAAUAUUAAAAAAUAACUUCAAAUAACCCCGCGUGUUUGUGAUGUAUUAUCUUGUGGUAUUUUAUUGCAGUUAUAUCUGAUUUGUAGCCAUUUUUUAUCAUACCAUAAUGUAGGUUAAAAAUGAUAUAUGAGACCACCUCAAAAUAUAUAUACGCGCACGUGAAAAUAAAGUAAUAAUAAAUACGUACCGUUUCUAAUUUACUAUUUAUAAGUAGUUCAUAAAAAAAAAAUCUAAAAUGCACCAAUUAUAUUAGUGGCGUGACGUCUUCAACCAAUCAAAUAAUAUUUUUAGAUUUAUUUGUCCUAUUAUGAUUAUAAAAAAAUAUUUUUGUUGUAUUUUUUUUCCACAUAAAGAGAAAUAAUUGAUUUGUUAUUGAUGAUAUGGUAUAAAUAUGAUACAGUAGAUUUUCUCUAGUUCUUAAUAGUAUGAAAUGAUAAUAAACAAUAAGACAAU